CUGCAGUCGAGAAUCUUCCGCAAUGGGCGCAAGCCCUGACGGAGCGAUGCCGCGUGAGGGAUGACGGCCUUCGGGUUGUAAACCUCUGUCAGAGGGGACGAAGCAUGUGACGGUACCCUCAGAGGAAGCCACGGCUAACUACGUGCCAGCAGCCGCGGUAACACGUAGGUGGCGAGCGUUAUUCGGAUUUACUGGGCGUAAAGGGUCCGCAGGGGGUCUGUCAAGUCUGAUGUGAAACUCCGCAGCUCAACUGCGGACGUGCAUUGGAAACUGGCGGACUCGAGUACACGAUGGGAGAACGGAAUUCCUGGUGUAGCGGUGGAAUGCGUAGAUAUCAGGAAGAACACCGGCGGCGAAGGCGGUUCUCUGGCGUGUCACUGACCCUCAAGGACGAAAGCGUGGGUAGCGAACAGGAUUAGAUACCCUGGUAGUCCACGCCGUAAACGUUGUGCACUAGAUGUGGGGAGUACCUUAGGUCCUUUCCGUGUCCAAGUUAACGCGAUAAGUGCACCGCCUGGGGACUACGGCCGCAAGGCUAAAACUCAAAGGAAUUGACGGGGGCCCGCACAAGCGGUGGAGCAUGUGGCUUAAUUCGAGGCAACGCGAAGAACCUUACCCGGAUUUGACAUAUGUCUGCUCGUCCGUGAAAGCGGAUUUUCUCUUCGGAGACGGACAUACAGGUGCUGCAUGGCUGUCGUCAGCUCGUGCCGUGAGGUGUUCGGUUAAGUCCGGCAACGAGCGCAACCCGUGUCGUCAGUUGCCAUCAGGUAAUGCUGGGCACUCUGGCGAGACUGCCCGUGUCAAGCGGGAGGAAGGCGCGGACGACGUCAAGUCCGUAUGGCCCUUACAUCCGGGGCUGCACACGUGCUACAAUGGGCGGUACAGUGGGGAGCCACGUCGCGAGGCGCAGCGAAUCCCCAAAGCCGUCCUCAGUUCGGAUUGGAGUCUGCAAUUCGACUCCAUGAAGCUGGAAUCGCUAGUAAAGGCGCAUCAGCAACGGCGCCUUGAAUACGUUCCCGGGCCUUGUACACACCGCCCGUCACAUCAUGGAAGCCGGCUGCACC
Molecule: ribosomal RNA, 1064 nt
Filed under: uncultured organism
Description: bacterial SSU rRNA
Rfam family: Bacterial small subunit ribosomal RNA
Source: RNAcentral